GACGUAGGGCGCGAGCGUUGUCCGGAUUUAUUGGGCGUAAAGAGCUCGUAGGCGGCUUGUCGCGUCGAAUGUGAAAUUUCAGGGCUCAACCCCGGGCCUGCAUUCGAUACGGGCAGACUAGAGUUCGGUAGGGGAGUCUGGAAUUCCUGGUGUAGCGGUGAAAUGCGCAGAUAUCAGGAGGAACACCGGUGGCGAAGGCGGGACUCUGGGCCGAUACUGACGCUGAGGAGCGAAAGCGUGGGGAGCGAACAGG
This 253-nucleotide ribosomal RNA is filed under the name uncultured bacterium. Its description in RNAcentral is "partial 16S ribosomal RNA". It matches the Rfam family "Bacterial small subunit ribosomal RNA", at positions 524 to 776 of the family's 1533-position model. The record is from RNAcentral.